UGGGCGCAAGCCUGACCCAGCAACGCCGCGUGAAGGAAGAAGGCUUUCGGGUUGUAAACUUCUUUUCUCAGGGACGAACAGAUGACGGUACCUGAGGAAUAAGCCACGGCUAACUACGUGCC
RNAcentral lists this ribosomal RNA (122 nucleotides) under uncultured bacterium. RNAcentral's name for it is "partial 16S ribosomal RNA". It matches the Rfam family "Bacterial small subunit ribosomal RNA", at positions 372 to 509 of the family's 1533-position model. The record is from RNAcentral.